This 423-nucleotide ribosomal RNA is filed under the name uncultured archaeon. RNAcentral describes it as "partial 16S ribosomal RNA". It matches the Rfam family "Archaeal small subunit ribosomal RNA", at positions 323 to 746 of the family's 1478-position model. The record is from RNAcentral.
CUACGGGGUGCUCCAGUCGCGGAACUUUUACAAUGCACGCAAGUGUGAUAAAGCGAACCAAAGUGUUCUUCGUUUAGAAGAACUUUUCCUUACUGUAAAAAUGUAGGGGAAUAAGGACUGGGAAAGACUGGUGCCAGCCGCCGCGGUAAUACCAGCAGUUCGAGUGGCAUCCACUUUUAUUGGGUCUAAAACAUCCGUAGCUUGCCAUCUAAGUCUCUUGUGAAAUCCUAUGUCUUAAGCAUGGGGCUUGCAGGAGAUACUGGGUGGCUAGAGAUCGGUAGACGUAAGGAGUACGCCGGGGGUAAUGGUUAAAUGUGUUAAUCCUCGGUGGACUAACAAUGAGCGAAGGCACCUUACGAGGACGAAUCUGACAGUGAGGGAUGAAGGCCAGGGGCGCAAAACGGAUUAGAUACCCGAGUAGUC